Molecule: ribosomal RNA, 1619 nt
Filed under: uncultured fungus
Lineage: Eukaryota; Fungi
Description: eukaryotic LSU rRNA
Rfam family: Eukaryotic large subunit ribosomal RNA (bases 584-1619)
Source: RNAcentral
GGAAGGAUCAUUAACGAAUUCGAUCGAGGUUGUGCUGGUUCUCACAAGUGCACGCCUCUUAAUUCAUUCACACCCAUCGUGCACCUUUAGAGAUUCGGAUGUCGUGUCGUCUCCCCCCGUUUACGUGCCCUCGGGCUAUGGGGCUUCGACGGUCCGGUCUAUUUCAUACACCCCUAUCAGUAUUCAGAACGUCUUCCGCAGAAAUGCGAAUAACAAAUAAUAUAACUUUCAACAACGGAUCUCUUGGUUCUCGCAUCGAUGAAGAACGCAGCGAAAUGCGAUAAGUAAUGUGAAUUGCAGAAUUCAGUGAAUCAUCGAAUCUUUGAACGCACCUUGCGCCCCUUGGUAUUCCGAGGGGCAUGCCUGUUCGAGUGUCAUGAAACUCUCAAACCGCAUCUUUAUCGAUGUCGGGCUUGGACUUUGGACGUUGCUGGGUUAACGCUCGGCUCGUCCCAAAUGCAUUAGCUGACUCUCCCGGCUUCAGUUUUUCGGCGUGAUAAUCACAUCUACGUCGAUGCCGCGAGGCGCUGGACCGGGACGCAAGCGGCUCAUAACGGUCUUCGGACGAUUUUUCAUUCACAUUUGACCUCGAAUCAGGUAGGACUACCCGCUGAACUUAAGCAUAUCAAUAAGCGGAGGAAAAGAAACUAACAAGGAUUCCCCUAGUAACGGCGAGUGAAGCGGGAAGAGCUCAAAUUUUAAAUCUGGCGGUCUCCGGCCGUCCGAGUUGUAAUCUAGAGAAGCGUUAUCCGUGCCGGACCGCAUAUAAGUCCCCUGGAACGGGGCGUCAUAGAGGGUGAGAAUCCCGUCUUUAAUGCGGACUACCGGUGCUAUGUGAUGCGCUCUCAAAGAGUCGAGUUGUUUGGGAAUGCAGCUCAAAAUGGGUGGUAAAUUCCAUCUAAAGCUAAAUAUUGGCGAGAGACCGAUAGCGAACAAGUACCGUGAGGGAAAGAUGAAAAGCACUUUGGAAAGAGAGUCAAACAGUACGUGAAAUUGUUGAAAGGGAAACGAUUGAAGUCAGUCGCGUCUGCCGGGAUUCAGCCUUGCUUCUGCUCGGUGCAUUUCCUGGUAUGACGGGUCAACAUCGAUUUCGACCGUCGGAUAAGGGUCGGAGGAAUGUGGCAUCUUCGGGUGUGUUAUAGCCUCUGGUCGUAUGCGUCGGUCGGGAUCGAGGAACUCAGCAUGCCUUUAUGGUCGGGGUUCGCCCACGUAACGUGCUUAGGAUGUUGGCAAAAUGGCUUUAAACGACCCGUCUUGAAACACGGACCAAGGAGUCUAACAUGUCUGCGAGUGUUUGGGUGAAAAACCCGAGCGCGUAAUGAAAGUGAAAGGUUGGGACCCUUUGGGGGCACCGACGCCCGAGCCGGACCUUUUGUGAUGGCUUCGAGGUAGAGCAUAUAUGUUGGGACCCGAAAGAUGGUGAACUAUGCCUGAAUAGGGCGAAGCCAGAGGAAACUCUGGUGGAGGCUCGUAGCGAUUCUGACGUGCAAAUCGAUCGUCAAAUUUGGGUAUAGGGGCGAAAGACUAAUCGAACCAUCUAGUAGCUGGUUCCUGCCGAAGUUUCCCUCAGGAUAGCAGAAACUCAUUAUCAGCCUUGUGUGGUAAAGCGAAUGAUUAGA